This 68-nucleotide transfer RNA is filed under the name Hylastes opacus. RNAcentral's name for it is "tRNA-Ser". The record is from RNAcentral. Lineage: Eukaryota; Metazoa; Arthropoda; Insecta; Coleoptera; Curculionidae. RNAcentral also lists the same sequence under 1 other name.
AGUUAAUGAACUUGUACAAGUAUAUAUUUUGAAAAUAUAAAAAAGAAAUUAUAAUUUUCUAUUAACUU